Molecule: long non-coding RNA, 665 nt
Organism: Meriones unguiculatus (Mongolian gerbil)
Lineage: Eukaryota; Metazoa; Chordata; Mammalia; Rodentia; Muridae
Exons: 3
Source: RefSeq, a predicted model, not a curated record
AUCGGUGUCCGCCCGCUGUGGGAGGGGCGUGGCCUGGGCGUGGCCUGCGCGCUCCAGACACCUUUUAACCGCGGCUGAGCCCUGCCUAGCGCACCCUGCAGCCAGGAUCACUCUCUGACUCCCGGCUGGUCUCUGUACCACUUUUGCUUUAGACCACAGACAGCUCAGCCUCAGCACUCUACUUCCGUGUUUUGCGUGGGCGACUCCACGUAGCAUCACUGCAGAACUCUUCCUGGGACAGAGGAUUUGGGCCCCUUGGUAAGACUUCAUGGCCCAGUCAGUAAACCUAGAGCAACCAGUUCAUAUGGGUUUGGCUUCUGGAAGUCGAAUCCAUCCCGGAUCACUUUUGCUUCCUGAUGAGAGUAAAGAGUUGACUGUGUCUGUGCCGAGCGCCCUCCCCAGCUCUGGAGCAGCGGAGCGGUUCUGAGCUUGGUGGUGGUGCUGUCUACGUGCUGAGUCUUAUGUCCUGAGUGGCAUUUCCAUCAUGCAUCAGUUGUGUUAGGGGCCUAUUAAGUUUGGGGGCCCUGUUACACCCACCAGAAAAAAACAAACAAACAAACAAACAAACAACCAUGGAAACCUGGCCAGCUGGCAGCGGAUCCAGAGUAUAAGCAAGAUGGCAGAACCCCUCCUUUUAAAAAAAAAAUAGUUUAUUUAUUUUAUGU